Molecule: non-coding RNA, 46 nt
Filed under: Schistosoma haematobium
Lineage: Eukaryota; Metazoa; Platyhelminthes; Trematoda; Strigeidida; Schistosomatidae
Source: RNAcentral
ACACUACUGAGGAGUCCCAAAAUGGGACGAAACGGCCUUCCAGUGC